This 433-nucleotide ribosomal RNA is filed under the name uncultured bacterium. RNAcentral's name for it is "partial 16S ribosomal RNA". It matches the Rfam family "Bacterial small subunit ribosomal RNA", at positions 29 to 507 of the family's 1533-position model. The record is from RNAcentral.
AACGAACGCUGGCGGCAUGCCUAACACAUGCAAGUCGAACGAGACCUUCGGGUCUAGUGGCGCACGGGUGCGUAACGCGUGGGAACCUGCCCUUAGGUUCGGAAUAACUCCCCGAAAGGGGUGCUAAUACCGGAUAAUGUCUUCGGACCAAAGAUUUAUCGCCUUUGGAUGGGCCCGCGUUGGAUUAGCUAGUUGGUAGGGUAAAAGCCUACCAAGGCGACGAUCCAUAGCUGGUCUGAGAGGAUGAUCAGCCACACUGGGACUGGGACACGGCCCAGACUCCUACGGGAGGCAGCAGUGGGUAAUGUUGGACAAUGGGCGAAGGCCUGAUCCAGCAAUGCCGCGUGAGUGAUGAAGGCCUUAGGGUUGUAAAGCUCUUUUACCCGGGAUGAUAAUGACGGUACCGGGAGAAUAAGCUCCGGCUAACUCCGUG